GGAGAGAUGGUCGAGCUGGUUGAAGGCACCGGUCUUGAAAACCGGCGAAGUGAAAGCUUCCGUGGGUUCGAAUCCCACUCUCUCCGCCA
This 89-nucleotide transfer RNA is filed under the name Clostridiaceae bacterium. RNAcentral's name for it is "tRNA-Ser". It matches the Rfam family "tRNA". From Rfam's summary of the family: Transfer RNA (tRNA) molecules are approximately 80 nucleotides in length. Their secondary structure includes four short double-helical elements and three loops (D, anti-codon, and T loops). The record is from RNAcentral. Lineage: Bacteria; Bacillati; Bacillota; Clostridia; Eubacteriales; Clostridiaceae.